CUCAGCCACCCUGGACAUGAGGCCCUAGAAGUGGCCUGAUUGGCCAAUUUGCAAAAAGGGGCGUGGUUUCGGCUGCAGCACGGUCGAUCCACGCCUCUACUCUUCAGUUCUUUUCAGGAUCUCAUGAGGAAGGAGCUCUUUACUUGGGCUCCUUCCACUUAGGCCUGGGGAGGGUUCGCCCAGGAGCGGGUGUGGCAGUUCUCCAGCGGGUUCCUUCAGGUCCCGCUGUGCAGGGCAUUAGGUAGACAAGUCUCCAGGCUUUGCAGAAUACCAGCGGGGCUCUGUGGCCUGUGGGCCCGAUCGCAGCCUUCUCCAGUGUCCUGUUCCGACAUCUGCAUCACGGCAGGGCUUUGGCCCUUUGGUUUGUUGCAGGCCCGGGAGGGCCGUGGGGUGGGGCAUUUUGCAAGUUUUUCUACAGCUUUCUUGGCUCUCCUGAUCUUUGGAAGGGGUUUCUGGCUGCUUUUGGGGGCCUUGUUGUGAGGGGUUGUUGCUGGGCUUUCGAGUUGGCUUCUGAGGUUUUUUCCUUGAGCUUUGGUAUCCCCUGGGGGUGGCUAAGGUUUUUUCCCUUCGUGCAAACCUCUCCCACAUCCAUAGGGUUGCUCUGUAGAGCAAGAAUUGGGGGUUGGCUUCUCCUUCUAAUAUUGGUUGAGGGCUUGUGGGUGUUUUCACGAUGCCCAGGAAAGCUAAGGAGAAAAGGGGUGGGAAGCCUGUUAGGCAGCCCAAAGGCCCCCCCCUUCUUCCUCGGAUGAGGAUGAUGAAGAAAUGGCCCUUAUUAGGGGCUUGAUUGGUAGGAUGGAGGCCUUGGAGAAGUCUCGCAGCGCUCCUUCUGAUAAGGGUGCUGGUCCUUCUGGCGGGGUGGUGGUGUCCCUCCUCCCAAGGUGCCUCGCAGGACCAGGGGGGCUGCCCGGAAUCAGCUUUUAAAAUCACUCUCUAGUAGGUUGGAGGCGUUGGAAAAGGGGGGGGGGCAGCCGGCCCGGCUCCUCCCUCAGGUCCGCAAGAUCCAUCCAUGCCUGAUGACCUGGUUCCUGGAAGGCCUGCUCCCGUGGCUCCAUUGCCGUCGCCUGAGGACCCGGCUCCUGUGCUGCCUGCUCCGUCGCUUCCACUGCCUGCUGCGCCGGUUGAACCUCUGCCUGUGGACCCUCGAGUACCGGUGGCCCCGGACCCCGACACCAAACUCUUCAAACAUCUUAUAAAAGAGAUAAUCACAAGAACUACAAAAGAGUGAUCACCCGAGCUUUAAAGUGGAGCAUAGGUAAUGAAUUGGCACCAGUUUUCAUUACAGUGUGUGUGUGUAUGUAAAAAGUGCAAAGGAACACCUGAUCUAUGGAUAUUUAUAGAGCAGAGAAUGUGUGCAGUUUUAAAAAAUAUGUAUGGCUGAUCCAGUCUUUAGCAGCUACAAGUAGCUCAAACACUUACUGUACAUAUAGUAAGAGGCUGAGCAAAUAAAUCAAUCACAUUUUAAACGAACAUUUUUGGCAAAAUCAAAAACGGCCCCCCAUUUCAAUUAUAUUUUGGUAGUUGCUUCAACAUUGUUGGUUUCUUCAUGGCCUUAAUUCUGUUUUGACUUCAUUUGCUAUCAGUGACAUCGGUGAAGUAGUCAAAUCUAAUUGCAGCCAAGCUGUGACAUCAUCACAUUCACCACUUGUCUCCUUAUUGGUUGGGCUUAACCUUAAGAGUAUUGCAGGAAGAAGAAAGAAGCCCUAACCAGGAAAAUUACAGUACCCUAAAAACAGAAGCUAGGAGAAACAUUGACAAACAACAGGAUGCAAAGAAGGUGAAUGUUCACAUAAUUUAAAAAGAGGAAUAAUUUCUAUCUACCACUAUAAGUUAUUUUUGAAUGAAAAUCACAAUGGAAAAUAUGAUGUACAUUCCUAAUAAAAAUUUCCAUUUCUAUUUUGAAUAUUU
Hemicordylus capensis (graceful crag lizard) is the source of this 1905-nucleotide long non-coding RNA. RefSeq lists it as uncharacterized. The record is from RefSeq and is a predicted model, not a curated record. The transcript is spliced from 2 exons. Lineage: Eukaryota; Metazoa; Chordata; Lepidosauria; Squamata; Cordylidae.